Molecule: ribosomal RNA, 207 nt
Filed under: uncultured bacterium
Lineage: Bacteria
Description: partial 16S ribosomal RNA
Rfam family: Bacterial small subunit ribosomal RNA
Source: RNAcentral
UGCGUAGGUGGUUUGGUAAGUUAUGUGUGAAAUCCCAGGGCUUAACCUUGGAGGGUCAGAUAAUACUGCUGAACUAGAGUAUAAGAGAGGGUAGUGGAAUUUCCGGUGUAGCGGUGAAAUGCGUAGAGAUCGGAAGGAACACCAGUGGCGAAGGCGGCUACCUGGCUUAAUACUGACACUGAGGCACGAAAGCGUGGGGAGCAAACA